This 1973-nucleotide ribosomal RNA is filed under the name Escherichia coli. Its description in RNAcentral is "partial 23S ribosomal RNA". It matches the Rfam family "Bacterial large subunit ribosomal RNA", at positions 701 to 2656 of the family's 2925-position model. The record is from RNAcentral. Lineage: Bacteria; Pseudomonadati; Pseudomonadota; Gammaproteobacteria; Enterobacterales; Enterobacteriaceae.
UGCAGGGUAUAGACCCGAAACCCGGUGAUCUAGCCAUGGGCAGGUUGAAGGUUGGGUAACACUAACUGGAGGACCGAACCGACUAAUGUUGAAAAAUUAGCGGAUGACUUGUGGCUGGGGGUGAAAGGCCAAUCAAACCGGGAGAUAGCUGGUUCUCCCCGAAAGCUAUUUAGGUAGCGCCUCGUGAAUUCAUCUCCGGGGGUAGAGCACUGUUUCGGCAAGGGGGUCAUCCCGACUUACCAACCCGAUGCAAACUGCGAAUACCGGAGAAUGUUAUCACGGGAGACACACGGCGGGUGCUAACGUCCGUCGUGAAGAGGGAAACAACCCAGACCGCCAGCUAAGGUCCCAAAGUCAUGGUUAAGUGGGAAACGAUGUGGGAAGGCCCAGACAGCCAGGAUGUUGGCUUAGAAGCAGCCAUCAUUUAAAGAAAGCGUAAUAGCUCACUGGUCGAGUCGGCCUGCGCGGAAGAUGUAACGGGGCUAAACCAUGCACCGAAGCUGCGGCAGCGACGCUGAUGCGUUGUUGGGUAGGGGAGCGUUCUGUAAGCCUGCGAAGGUGUGCUGUGAGGCAUGCUGGAGGUAUCAGAAGUGCGAAUGCUGACAUAAGUAACGAUAAAGCGGGUGAAAAGCCCGCUCGCCGGAAGACCAAGGGUUCCUGUCCAACGUUAAUCGGGGCAGGGUGAGUCGACCCCUAAGGCGAGGCCGAAAGGCGUAGUCGAUGGGAAACAGGUUAAUAUUCCUGUACUUGGUGUUACUGCGAAGGGGGGACGGAGAAGGCUAUGUUGGCCGGGCGACGGUUGUCCCGGUUUAAGCGUGUAGGCUGGUUUUCCAGGCAAAUCCGGAAAAUCAAGGCUGAGGCGUGAUGACGAGGCACUGCGGUGCUGAAGCAACAAAUGCCCUGCUUCCAGGAAAAGCCUCUAAGCAUCAGGUAACAUCAAAUCGUACCCCAAACCGACACAGGUGGUCAGGUAGAGAAUACCAAGGCGCUUGAGAGAACUCGGGUGAAGGAACUAGGCAAAAUGGUGCCGUAACUUCGGGAGAAGGCACGCUGAUAUGUAGGUGAAGUCCCUCGCGGAUGGAGCUGAAAUCAGUCGAAGAUACCAGCUGGCUGCAACUGUUUAUUAAAAACACAGCACUGUGCAAACACGAAAGUGGACGUAUACGGUGUGACGCCUGCCCGGUGCCGGAAGGUUAAUUGAUGGGGUUAGCGCAAGCGAAGCUCUUGAUCGAAGCCCCGGUAAACGGCGGCCGUAACUAUAACGGUCCUAAGGUAGCGAAAUUCCUUGUCGGGUAAGUUCCGACCUGCACGAAUGGCGUAAUGAUGGCUAGGCUGUCUCCACCCGAGACUCAGUGAAAUUGAACUCGCUGUGAAGAUGCAGUGUACCCGCGGCAAGACGGAAAGACCCCGUGAACCUUUACUAUAGCUUGACACUGAACAUUGAGCCUUGAUGUGUAGGAUAGGUGGGAGGCUUUGAAGUGUGGACGCCAGUCUGCAUGGAGCCGACCUUGAAAUACCACCCUUUAAUGUUUGAUGUUCUAACGUUGACCCGUAAUCCGGGUUGCGGACAGUGUCUGGUGGGUAGUUUGACUGGGGCGGUCUCCUCCUAAAGAGUAACGGAGGAGCACGAAGGUUGGCUAAUCCUGGUCGGACAUCAGGAGGUUAGUGCAAUGGCAUAAGCCAGCUUGACUGCGAGCGUGACGGCGCGAGCAGGUGCGAAAGCAGGUCAUAGUGAUCCGGUGGUUCUGAAUGGAAGGGCCAUCGCUCAACGGAUAAAAGGUACUCCGGGGAUAACAGGCUGAUACCGCCCAAGAGUUCAUAUCGACGGCGGUGUUUGGCACCUCGAUGUCGGCUCAUCACAUCCUGGGGCUGAAGUAGGUCCCAAGGGUAUGGCUGUUCGCCAUUUAAAGUGGUACGCGAGCUGGGUUUAGAACGUCGUGAGACAGUUCGGUCCCUAUCUGCCGUGGGCGCUG